RNAcentral lists this ribosomal RNA (254 nucleotides) under uncultured bacterium. RNAcentral describes it as "partial 16S ribosomal RNA". It matches the Rfam family "Bacterial small subunit ribosomal RNA", at positions 524 to 776 of the family's 1533-position model. The record is from RNAcentral.
UACGGGGGGAGCAAGCGUUGUUCGGAUUUACUGGGCGUAAAGGGCGCGUAGGCGGCCACCGCAAGUCGAUUGUGAAAUCUCCGGGCUUAACCCGGAAAGGUCAACCGAUACUGCGGGGCUAGAGUGCAGAAGGGGCAACUGGAAUUCUCGGUGUAGCGGUGAAAUGCGUAGAGAUCGGAAAGAACACCAACGGCGAAAGCACUCUGCUGGGCCGACACUGACACUGAGAGACGAAAGCUAGGGGAGCGAAUGGG